AUGAAGCCACAAGGAGAUGACAAGGCUGCACCCGUGUCUGAAAGCGCCUGGCCGUGGCCUACCCGGAAGAACGUAAAGCCGUGCACCGUCACUAGAGCCACGUGGGGGAAGAACGGGUAUGGCUGGGGAGAGCAAAGGCCCAGGGAGAGCCCGACUCCGACCUGGGAGGGCAUCUGCUGCACCGCUGCUCAGACUUCAGUGCGUCUGGGGACACGCAGGACGGAGGGACAUCCUCAUGUGAAGACCCAUCCUGCAGAUAUUGAUGGAGGAUCAAGGAUUCCUACCAGGACCAUGUCCUCACCCUGGGCUUUCAGGAAGUGACUAUGGGGACACCCUGCCCUGGCCUGGCCUCCCCUUUCCUCUGCACAGGUGGUGGAAGGGUUUGCAAAGGGCCCAUCAGGAGCCCCUGCACUCUUCCUCUUUUCCACCCCCAACACAGGAUGAGCCUUCGUACUGGCUUCAAACAUGCUUGAGAGUCCUCCAUAUGACCAUCUGUGGGUGGCUCUCAGGUCCCUCUCAGGGUGGUCUGACUUGAGCUGGCCUGGACUGCAUCUGCUCCUCUUCUGAGAUCUCAACCUCCCCAAGUCCUCCAGGUGCCCCAAGCACUGACUCCAGUGUUGGCCUUGCACCUCCCCUGAGCGGCUAGAGAUUCUUCUUCCCAUCACUCUUCCUGCACGGCCUCUCACCACUGCAUUUAUUAAAAGGCAGAGAAUCUGGAGAGUGCUGAUCCUAGAGCACAGCCCCAUAAUCCACCCAGCUGCCCCGAGGCUCAUGAGAGGCAGAAGAGCCACCAACCUUGCUGAACCCAUUUUGAAAAUGUCCCCAGUAAAACCUGAUUGGUGUCCACACUGCAGGACAUUGAGUUGUUUGCAUUUGCAGGUGGGGCCCAGUGGGGACAGUUGCCUCCCCAGCCCUGAAUAUGGGUUUUUGGGAACGUAGACCAGCUGAACAGAUCUGGGGCAGGUAGACUCCCUCUUGUGCUGGUGGACAGCUUGCCCAGUUGCAGUUGUCACUGACCAUGUGGAGAUGAAAUUACGUUGAGUUUCACAGAGGUCCUAGACCUGGAAGUGUGCGGGGAGCUUUGCUGAAAGCAGAGUCCAUCUCCUUGGCCUUCCUGGCUGUUUGGAUGUUCGAGUCCCCUGCAGGGCAUUCUCCUCAUGGCUGGAGCAGCCUGGCCCCUCUCACUGGAGACUUGUUUUCAAGCGAUAUUCUGCUUGGGGGAUCAUAUGGGGAUAUCAGGCUCAUAUCCCAUCAUAGAAUGGACUCCUCUGUGGCCCAAAUGCUAACUGGAGCAGUCCAAGGAGGCCGUCACCAUUUUGGAACACCUGCCAGGGUGGCCCUGGGGGUGUCGACUCCUGGUCAGGAGGAAGAGCUUUCCUCCACCUCAGUGAUUUGCCCUGGGCUGAGGCAGGCAGGAGGGGUCACAGGGGUGACUUCUAAUGAAUGAAGGUCUUGAAUUUGUUCCUCAGCCUGGGCCUACUGAGAAGAAUGGGAUAGACUUUGGGAUCUUGAUGUUUCUUGCCCCAGAGACAAAAGAACAAAGUUGACCAAAUUUUAACCCAGAUGUAAAACAGGCCUUUACAAUAAUGCCCAGAAUCUUCAAUUAUGUGUGGUAGAACGCUUUCUCUGCUUAGAAUUAUAACAUAAGUAAAUUAUUAAAAAUUAUAUUAUUAAAAAUUAUAAUUACAUGGUCAUCUUUUUUUUUUUCCCCAGGACAGAGUGUUGCUCUGUUGCCCAGGCUGGAGUGCAAUGGUGUGAUCUCAGCUCACUGCAACCUCUGCCUCCUUGGUUCAAGCAGUUCUCCUGCCUCAGCCUCCCAAGGAACUACACGCUACCAUGCCUGGCUCAUUUUUUUGUAUUUUUAGUAGAAACAGGGUUUCACCAUGUUGGCCAGGCUGGUCUUGAACUUCUGACUUCAUGAUCCACCCAUCUUGGCCUUCCAAAGUGCUGGUAUUGGAGGCGUGAGCCACCACUCCUGGUCUAAAUGCAUAUUUCUAAGUGAAAAAAGUCAAUAGGAAAAGGCUAUAUACAAUAUAAUUCCAGCAAUAUGGCAUUCUGGAAAAUGCAGAAUUAUAGUGACAGUAAAAAGAUCGGUGGUUACCAAAGGCCAGGAGUAGGGAAGGAGUGCUAAGCAGGAGUUUUUAGGGCAGUGAAUCUAUUCAGUGCACAAUGGUGGGUCCCUGACAUCAUGCAUUUGGCAAAACCCACAGGACUGUGCAACACAAAGAAUGACCCUUACUAACAUAAGCCACGGACUUUAAUAUUAACGUGUCAACAUUUAUUAUCAAUAUUGGUUUCUACAAUUUUAUCAAAUGUACAACAUGAAUGUGAGAUGUUAAAAUCGUGAAGACUGUGGCCUGAGGUGGGAGGGAAUCUAUGGGAACUCUAGGUACUUACUGCUCACUUCUGUAAACCUAAAACCAUUAUAAAAAUAAAGGAUAUUAAUUUUAAAAACUAAUAGGAAAAGUAAUUAUUAGGUCCUAACAGUGUGUGUGUGUGUAUGUACACACAUAUGUGUAUUUAUGUAUAUUACACAUAAGAAUGAUUUAUUUUACCCAAAGAUGGGAGAUUAUGCCUUAAAUAAACGGUGAAUGAUGUUAGAUUAAUAAAUAUUAAUUAGCAUUCAAAAAAAUGAAAGGAAAAUAGAUCAGAUGGGCAUCAGACUAGAAAACAAUAGUUGCCAUGUAAAGAGAUAUCAUGUAGGAGAUGAUAAGAAACAUUUUCGCACUGGCAGUAACAACAGAAAAGUACACCCAAAUGUAAGAAACAGACAACUUACGAGGCAAAAUGAAUAGGUACAGAGGACGUUACGUCUCAAAAUUUGUACUUGAAACAAGAAUAUGGAAAUAAAACCUAUAGAGAGUGGUGGUGAGCCGAGCUGGUGCGGGGGCUGAGGCAUCCAGGGUAAGGAGACUGCAGGUUUCGAGGCCUGGAGGCUGGGGCAGCUGGGGUGGGUGAGGCCAGCAAGUGCUUGAGCUCUUGACCCCAAAUCGAAGCUCCAAUACCAAAGUAGCCUCCUAAUGGCCAACAAGUUCAGCACUUCACCCAUUUUAUAUGUACAUGGGUGAAGUGGAGAGCCCUCAGGGAAAGAAAGGGACCUCAAACCAAAGGGUGUUUGAGAGAGCUCUGAGAAAGGGCCAGGGUGUCAGGUGGAAGUGCCCUCCUACCUCUGGACUACGCAGUCCUUCCUAGGGGCCACAUGGGCCUCUAAGGAGCUUCUGGUACCUUCCACUUUGGGUUUAACUGCCUCUUGUCUCAAGUUGUGGCUUCUUCUCAAAGACAAAGACACUUGCCUGUGUCAUCAAUUCUUCUUGCCACUCUAGUCACUGUGGGCCUCGCCAGUUUGUGAUGCAAUUUUCCAUUUUGGAUUCGUAAUGCUCGAUACAUUUUAUAUGCUUAUUGGGCAUUUAUACAGACUCUUUGGCCGCGUGGCUGUCUGAAGCUCUUCCUACUUUCAACAGAGCAGCCCCUCCUGGUUCCACCUGCAUGGCUGCUGCUCUUCUUCCUGCGUCCUCCACGCUGACCCUUGGUGCCACCACUCACAAGGAACAGGAAAGACCCCCAGGACUGGGGGCAGCACGCUGUGCCUCUGGCACUCCAGUGGGCACUGUGGGCUGGGCUCUACAGAGCAAGAUCCCAUCUCUGAGAAGAAAAGAGGAGGCUGUGUGCAGAUGGAGGCAGUUGCUGGAGUGACAUAGCUACAAGCCACUGGACAAGAGCAAUUGCUGUGAACAGCAGAAGCGGAGAGACAGAAACAGGGGCUCCUGCAGAGCCUCUACGAGGAGCCAGCCCUUCCAAGCCCCAGGUCCCAGGAGCCCGAAGUGACUGAUACACAGCAACUCCUUAGCCAUGACCAGCCCCGGAGGCCCCUAGAGGGGGCUCCUCUGUCUGAAAGCCCCACCCUGGAGGGCCCCGGGGUGACCCUGAGAGGUGAGGGUGGCCCUAAGAAAGCACCAUGCUGGGGUCUACAUGAGGCCGGACUCCUCCCCAGCUCAGACUCCUGGCUGCCUGUGUAGGUCUGGCUGGCUUUCUGGGCAGGGGGAGGGCAGGCAACACUAAGCCUCUGGCCUCCUCUUCUGGCUCUGGUCUUGAAUCUGUUUUCAGGAGCCCGCAGUCAGGCUGUGGCCUUCAGCUCCUGGAGUGCUGCUCACUCUCACCUGUGGCUCCAGUGCUGGGGUCCCGCACUAUGGCCGCUGCAUCCAACAGAAGCCCAAUUUUGUACCCCAGGGUCUAAUAGAUGACACCAGCAACCGGGCCCAGGGGUUCCUGUCUGAUUUCAGGCUCCCACUUGGAGACAAGGUUGCCUCAGGGUCGUGGGGCAGCCCGAGCAGGAGUUACUGUGCUCUGGCACGGCAACCCUCUCCACAAUGACGCAGACGGCCCAUGCAGGGUGUGGUAACAAAGUCCCGUAAACCAGGCCGAGCACACACAGCAGAUAUGCACUUCUCACUGUUCUGGAAGCUGGAAGUCCCGCAUCGAGGCACUGGGAGAGGUGAUGCCUAGUGAGGGCCUGUUUCCUCCUUCGCGGAGGGUCGCCUUUCUGCUUCGUAUUCACAGGGUGGAUGUGAGAGAAGCUGUGGGAGGCUCUUCAGUGAGGGCUCCGCCCUUAUGACCCAGCCACUGCCUAGAGGCUCUCAGUCCUAAGACCAUCACCCUGGGGGUUGGGAGGUCCACGACCGGCUUUGUGGAGAUGCAUUCAGUUCAGUGUCUGGCAGGGGAUCUUUUAAAUUAAAUUAAAUUAAUUUAUUUAUUGAGACGGGGUCUCCCUCUCUCGCCCAGGAUGGUGUGCAGCGGCCCAAUCUUGGCUCACUUCAGUUUCCGUCUUCUGGGUUCCAGCAAUGCUCCCACUUCAGCCUCCUGAGUAGAUGGGAUUACAAGGUGCACCACCAUGCCCAGCUAAUUUUUUUGCAUUUUUAGUAGAGAUGAGGUUUUACCAUGCUGGCCAGGCUAGUCUGGAACUCCUGACCUCAGGUGAUCCGCCUGCCUUGGCCUCCCAAAGUGCUGGGAUUACAGGCAUGAGCCAUUGCGUCUGACCUGGCAGGGGAUCUUGACAGGCAGUUGGGGAAGAGGACAGUGCCUAUCAGUUGCCACUGGAGACCAGCAGGGACUGUGGCUCCUUCCAUUGACAGCCUUUUGACUGUUUUUUCUUUUCUUUUCUUUUCUUUUUUCUUUUUUCUAGGGGGGGAAAAAAGGCCAGAUUUUUAGAGAAACUACUCCAUGAAGCGAGUGGGUCCAAACAGUGCUAGAUGCAGUGGUGUCCAUCCGAAUGCCCUCCUUAGGGCUGCACAUGCCUUC
This is a long non-coding RNA of Callithrix jacchus (white-tufted-ear marmoset), 5295 nucleotides long. The record is from Ensembl. NCBI's taxonomy places the organism in Eukaryota, Metazoa, Chordata, Mammalia, Primates, Cebidae.